GCAGAAACAAACAUGGCAGUACCAAGAUGCCCCUAGAAUUUUAUUGGGGUGUUUAAUACAGGCCUUCAACAGAGAAUAGUUGAAAAAAUAACUGUUAAACAGAUUAUAAAUUGUACAUAUUAGGCAGUUUUGUGCAGAACUCCUACAGCUUCUUCCUUGCUUUGGGACGCAUCUUUCCCAUCUUUGAAUACAAGAAAUUCCAUCAUCUCCACCCGGAAGAAAAUGAAGCUUCCACAUAAAUGUGUGAUGCAAGAACCGAAGUCUGUGCCAACCACACACUGCCAUGCUGGUCCAUAACAUUUAUCAAAAUUCUGUACAACACAGCAUCUUAUUAUUAUGACAGUUCAAUAAGGCCUGAUUCAUUGCCUCCAGUGGACAAGAUAAAAACUUUUCACUGCUGAUCAAUGGAUAAUUUUUAUCUUGCCUCCUGUGGGUAGAUCAAUUCCGAUAGUUCAAUUACCAUCCUUGACUCAAAAUUCUCACUACAAAGUAGGUCUUUCAAGAACUAUACGAGACUCAAAAAUAGUUGUCGUAGUCCGUGGUUGAUUUAACAAAACUGAAGGUAGCUCCUGGUCUCCUCAUCCACGGUGAGGAUCCGAGCCUGUACAAAGAAAGUGCCUAAUAUGCUUAUAAAGCUUAAUGGGAAGUGGUAGUUAUAAACCCAUUGUGAUUAUUUUGUCUUGUUGGUAAAGUGAAAACACAAGUUCGGAAGUUCCACACCUACUAGACAAGGGGAUGGUCCUCAGUUUGAAGGAAUUGAGCUACUCUUCUUAACAUAUUAAUCUUCUGGGAAGGAACCCAAAUCCCAACAGUUUUGGGCUGUUUCAUUGCUCAAUGGUGACAAAAUUAACGAGUUUGUAUGAACAUUAGACGAGAACUUCAUGCAGUCAUAUCCAAUACUGUGAGUUUUAGACGAUAAUAAAUACCUGUUUAAUAUAAUGAGCAAUGGAUUGAUAAUCAGCAACUUCAUGUAGAUCCAGAGCUUGAUAAGCCAACUCCAUAGCAUGGCUCUUCAUUGUAUCUGGCAUGUCUGUUUCGCCAACUAUUGCUUUUCCUUCCAACAUUUUCAGUGGUAAUGUUCUUUUAGAUUUUUUAUGCUCUGGUUUAUGGAAUAUGCAAAAUAAUAUUUUGGGGACAUUGAACAUGUGUAAAUGGUUUCUUUAAAUAUUUUGAUUUCUUACCUCCACAAAAAAUCUAAUUAAGUUUUUUGGAGUCAAACCUUGAGUGACAAGUCUUGUAGUCAAAUGAGGCCAAGGCCUAGGGCAAACGAGCAGCCUUCUCAGAUUAAUGGGACAGAGUUCGAGCUUGCUUUUAAGAGGACGGGUGAAAUCGAGUAGGGAGGACAAGAAGAAGAAGAAGGAAUCUCCGAGUCAACAAGGUCAG
RNAcentral lists this long non-coding RNA (1383 nucleotides) under Olea europaea subsp. europaea. Lineage: Eukaryota; Viridiplantae; Streptophyta; Magnoliopsida; Lamiales; Oleaceae. The record is from RNAcentral.